UACGUAGGGUGCGAGCGUUAAUCGGAAUUACUGGGCGUAAAGCGUGCGCAGGCGGUUAUAUAAGACAGAUGUGAAAUCCCCGGGCUCAACCUGGGAACUGCAUUUGUGACUGUAUAGCUAGAGUACGGCAGAGGGGGAUGGAAUUCCGCGUGUAGCAGUGAAAUGCGUAGAUAUGCGGAGGAACACCGAUGGCGAAGGCAAUCCCCUGGGCCUGUACUGACGCUCAUGCACGAAAGCGUGGGGAGCAAACAGG
RNAcentral lists this ribosomal RNA (253 nucleotides) under Comamonadaceae bacterium. RNAcentral describes it as "partial 16S ribosomal RNA". It matches the Rfam family "Bacterial small subunit ribosomal RNA", at positions 524 to 776 of the family's 1533-position model. The record is from RNAcentral. Lineage: Bacteria; Pseudomonadati; Pseudomonadota; Betaproteobacteria; Burkholderiales; Comamonadaceae. RNAcentral also lists the same sequence under 3 other names.